CAAUUAUCAAGAACCGAAGACAUAUACUACUAUUGGUUGAAUAUAACAUGCUAUACAAAACUUCUUAAAUAGAAGAAGGUAUAAAAUUUUAAUAGCAUGAGUUUGAAUGUUAUUUUGAUUGUUUUGAAAGACUCAAAGGGUGAGUCGUGUUGUACUUCGGUCUAUUAUACCGUUGGUCGAGGAUAAGACGAUAGAUUCAAGUUCUAUUGCACC
RNAcentral lists this long non-coding RNA (213 nucleotides) under Solanum lycopersicum (tomato). Its description in RNAcentral is "partial TCONS_00104459". Lineage: Eukaryota; Viridiplantae; Streptophyta; Magnoliopsida; Solanales; Solanaceae. The record is from RNAcentral.